GAUGAACGCUAGCGACAGGCCUAACACAUGCAAGUCGAGGGGCAUCGGGGCGAGGAGCAAUCCUUGCCGCCGGCGACCGGCGCACGGGUGAGUAACGCGUAUGCGACCUGCCCGUUGCAGGGGGAUAAUCGGGAGAAAUCCCGUCUAAUACCGCGUAAUGCCGCGGGGCUGCAUGGCCCUGCGGCCAAAGGGAGCGAUUCCGGCAACGGAUGGGCAUGCGUGACAUUAGCUAGUUGGCGGGGCAACGGCCCACCAAGGCGACGAUGUCUAGGGGUUCUGAGAGGAAGGUCCCCCACACUGGUACUGAGACACGGACCAGACUCCUACGGGAGGCAGCAGUGAGGAAUAUUGGUCAAUGGGCGCGAGCCUGAACCAGCCAAGUCGCGUGAGGGAUGACGGCCCUACGGGUUGUAAACCUCUUUUGUCGGGGAGCAAAUUCCGUUACGUGUAACGGAGUCGAGAGUACCCGAAGAAAAAGCAUCGGCUAACUCCGUGCCAGCAGCCGCGGUAAUACGGAGGAUGCGAGCGUUAUCCGGAUUUAUUGGGUUUAAAGGGUGCGUAGGCGGACUGUCAAGUCAGCGGUAAAAUACGGGGGCUCAACCUCCGCCCGCCGUUGAAACUGACGGUCUUGAGUGGGCGAGAAGUAUGCGGAAUGCGUGGUGUAGCGGUGAAAUGCAUAGAUAUCACGCAGAACUCCGAUUGCGAAGGCAGCAUACCGGCGCCCAACUGACGCUGAAGCACGAAAGCGUGGGUAUCGAACAGGAUUAGAUACCCUGGUAGUCCACGCAGUAAACGAUGAAUACUAGCUGUCCGGGGCGAAUGAGCCCUGGGUGGCACAGCGAAAGCGUUAAGUAUUCCACCUGGGGAGUACGCCGGCAACGGUGAAACUCAAAGGAAUUGACGGGGGCCCGCACAAGCGGAGGAACAUGUGGUUUAAUUCGAUGAUACGCGAGGAACCUUACCCGGGCUCAAACGACACAGGAACGUACCUGAAAGGGUUCGGCUCUACGGAGCCUGUGUCGAGGUGCUGCAUGGUUGUCGUCAGCUCGUGCCGUGAGGUGUCGGCUUAAGUGCCAUAACGAGCGCAACCCCCAUCGACAGUUGCUAACAGGUCAGGCUGAGGACUCUGUCGAGACUGCCGGCGCAAGCUGCGAGGAAGGCGGGGAUGACGUCAAAUCAGCACGGCCCUUACGUCCGGGGCGACACACGUGUUACAAUGGCAGGUACAGCGGGAAGCCACCUGGCGACAGGGAGCGGAACCCGAAAGCCUGUCUCAGUUCGGAUUGGAGUCUGCAACCCGACUCCAUGAAGCUGGAUUCGCUAGUAAUCGCGCAUCAGCAUCGGCGCGGUGAAUACGUUCCCGGGCCU
Molecule: ribosomal RNA, 1368 nt
Filed under: uncultured bacterium
Lineage: Bacteria
Description: bacterial SSU rRNA
Rfam family: Bacterial small subunit ribosomal RNA
Source: RNAcentral